This is a long non-coding RNA of Capsella rubella, 993 nucleotides long. RefSeq lists it as uncharacterized. The record is from RefSeq and is a predicted model, not a curated record. NCBI's taxonomy places the organism in Eukaryota, Viridiplantae, Streptophyta, Magnoliopsida, Brassicales, Brassicaceae. The transcript has 3 exons.
GGGGAGACAAGGAGAGAGUCGCAAUUUUUUGGGUUUUUUUUUUUUUCAUUUUAUUUUUGGUUUCCCAACAAAUUGAAGAAUUGUGGUGGGCGAAAUCGAAGCUUCCCUCUCAUCAUCUGUAGACUGUAGUUAUCUCUGCUUGAGGAGCCCCUAAUCAAACAAUGGUGGUGGAUCAAUGGAGGUGAUGCUCUUCUUCUUCUUCUAUCCAUUUACAAGAACAAGAGACAAGCAGCCGCAGCACCACCGCCGUACCUCAUCUUCAUCGUCUCGGACAUGGGGAUUCCCUUCGCCGCCACUCUUCGUUUCCGGUCUUCGGCAAUCGACUCCUUCUGCUUCGCCUGUGAGGCCUUCUCCGAUCCAAUCUUCGUCCUCACCCUUCUUCUGUAACCAUUCCUCCUUCUCUUCUUCUUCUUCUACUUCUUCCUCUUCCUCCGGACUAUUAGAUUAGAUAUCUGCCAUGGACGAGGCUGACUUCGUCCAGAAAGAUCCCACUGGUCGCUACAUUGGGUCUGAUGACGUUCUAGGGAGAGGAGCCUUCAAAAAUUGUCUACAAGGCAUUUGAAGGGAUCGAAGUUGCUUGGAACCUAAUGAGCAUCGACAAUGUAUUGCAGAUGCCUGGCCAACUUGAUAGACUUUACUCUGAAGUCCAUCUCCUCAAAUCUCUUAAUCAUGAUAACAUCAUCAAACUCUUCUACUCCUGGGUUGAUGAUACUAACAAAGCCAUCAACAUGAUCACUGAGCUUUUCACCUCUGGCAGUCUCAGCCUGUAUGUCUUCUUACUAACCCCUCUUCUCUCUCUCUCUCUUUUUGGGAUUUGCUGCCAUACUCUUUUAUCUUUUUUGGUUUUGUUUCACUGCUUUAUUAAAUUCUUCUUGAAAAGGGUCUUCCAUUUCUCGCCGCUUUGGUUUUGUAAUUGUGCAUAUUGCAACAGAAACCACAUAUUGAACGAAUGAGAAAUGUUACUGAUGUUAAUAACAUGCUAUAAUAAGCUGA